RNAcentral lists this long non-coding RNA (333 nucleotides) under Homo sapiens (human). RNAcentral's name for it is "HSALNT0078712". Lineage: Eukaryota; Metazoa; Chordata; Mammalia; Primates; Hominidae. The record is from RNAcentral.
AAGCAUCAUUUUACCAGAUAGUAUUUAAAACUGAGAUGAUAACAUCCAAUAUUAAAACCAUGGCUGUGUAAUUCCAAAAUGAUCAGAGAAAAACUUGCCAUCUGGAUGUCAUAAGUAAAUAACUUGUUUCUGAGGCCUGCCUGGAGCUGUCUGAACCAGUGCAAUCAUGGAGGUGUUGGCUAACGCACCUGAGAUGAAGACACCUUCGGGCUUAUUCUUGUACAACUGUUCUUCACUAUGACAUUUCUUUAGCAUAUGUCUGAAGAUCAUUAAAAGGUAGUGCUGCAAUCCUCUCCAAAGGCAGGAGACUGGAGAGAGAUAGAGAGAGAAUCA